CACUGAAAAGCUAAAUCGGGGUUAGCGUUAGCCUUUUAAGCUAAAGAUUGGUGACUCCCAACCACCUUCAGUGA
RNAcentral lists this transfer RNA (74 nucleotides) under Auchenoglanis occidentalis (giraffe catfish). RNAcentral's name for it is "tRNA-Lys". It matches the Rfam family "tRNA". Rfam says of the family: Transfer RNA (tRNA) molecules are approximately 80 nucleotides in length. The record is from RNAcentral. Lineage: Eukaryota; Metazoa; Chordata; Actinopteri; Siluriformes; Auchenoglanididae.